Molecule: ribosomal RNA, 707 nt
Filed under: uncultured Fusobacterium sp.
Lineage: Bacteria; Fusobacteriati; Fusobacteriota; Fusobacteriia; Fusobacteriales; Fusobacteriaceae
Description: bacterial SSU rRNA
Rfam family: Bacterial small subunit ribosomal RNA
Source: RNAcentral
GAAUGCUUAACACAUGCAAGUCAACUUGAAUUUGAGUUUUUAACUUAGAUUUGGGUGGCGGACGGGUGAGUAACGCGUAAAGAACUUGCCUCACAGCUAGGGACAACAUUUAGAAAUGAAUGCUAAUACCUGAUAUUAUGAUUUUAAGGCAUCUUAGAAUUAUGAAAGCUAUAAGCACUGUGAGAGAGCUUUGCGUCCCAUUAGCUAGUUGGAGAGGUAACAGCUCACCAAGGCGAUGAUGGGUAGCCGGCCUGAGAGGGUGAACGGCCACAAGGGGACUGAGACACGGCCCUUACUCCUACGGGAGGCAGCAGUGGGGAAUAUUGGACAAUGGACCGAGAGUCUGAUCCAGCAAUUCUGUGUGCACGAUGAAGUUUUUCGGAAUGUAAAGUGCUUUCAGUUGGGAAGAAAGAAAUGACGGUACCAACAGAAGAAGUGACGGCUAAAUACGUGCCAGCAGCCGCGGUAAUACGUAUGUCACGAGCGUUAUCCGGAUUUAUUGGGCGUAAAGCGCGUCUAGGUGGUUAUGUAAGUCUGAUGUGAAAAUGCAGGGCUCAACUCUGUAUUGCGUUGGAAACUGUAUAACUAGAGUACUGGAGAGGUAAGCGGAACUACAAGUGUAGAGGUGAAAUUCGUAGAUAUUUGUAGGAAUGCCGAUGGGGAAGCCAGCUUACUGGACAGAUACUGACGCUAAAGCGCGAAAGCGU